Molecule: transfer RNA, 73 nt
Filed under: Stegodyphus mimosarum
Lineage: Eukaryota; Metazoa; Arthropoda; Arachnida; Araneae; Eresidae
Rfam family: tRNA
About the family: Transfer RNA (tRNA) molecules are approximately 80 nucleotides in length. Their secondary structure includes four short double-helical elements and three loops (D, anti-codon, and T loops).
Source: Rfam by way of RNAcentral
GCUUUCGUGGUGUAGUGGUCUACAUGCUUGAUGCGUAACCGAGAGGUCCGUGGUUCGAUUCCCGACGAAGGCG